Molecule: ribosomal RNA, 467 nt
Filed under: uncultured bacterium
Lineage: Bacteria
Description: partial 16S ribosomal RNA
Rfam family: Bacterial small subunit ribosomal RNA
Source: RNAcentral
GACGAACGCUGGCGGCGUGCUUAACACAUGCAAGUCGAACGGAAAGGCCUCUUUCGGGGGGUACUCGAGUGGCGAACGGGUGAGUAACACGUGAGUAACCUGCCCUUGACUUUGGGAUAACUCCAGGAAACUGGGGCUAAUACCGGAUAGGAGCUCCUGCUGCAUGGUGGGGGUUGGAAAGCUUCGGCGGUUGGGGUUGGACUCGCGGCUUAUCAGCUUGUUGGUGGGGUAGUGGCUUACCAAGGCUUUGACGGGUAGCCGGCCUGGGAGGGUGACCGGCCACAGUGGGACUGGGAUACGGCCCAGACUCCUACGGGAGGGAGCAGUGGGGAAGGUUGCAAAAUGGGUGGGAGCCUGAUGCAGAAACGCCGUGGGCGGGAUGACGGCCUUGGGGUUGUAAACCGCUUUCGCUCAUGACGAAGCUUUGUGUGACGGUAGUGGGUAAAGAAGCACCGGCUAACUACGUG